Molecule: ribosomal RNA, 468 nt
Filed under: uncultured bacterium
Lineage: Bacteria
Description: partial 16S ribosomal RNA
Rfam family: Bacterial small subunit ribosomal RNA
Source: RNAcentral
GACGAACGCUGGCGGCGUGCUUAACACAUGCAAGUCGAACGGAAAGGCCCUGCUUUUGUGGGGUGCUCGAGUGGCGAACGGGUGAGAAACACGUGAGUAACCUGCCCUUGACUUUGGGAUAACUUCAGGAAACUGGGGCUAAUACCGGAUAGGAGCUCCUGCUGCAUGGUGGGGGUUGGAAAGUUUCGGCGGUUGGGGAUGGACUCGCGGCUUAUCAGCUUGUUGGUGGGGUAGUGGCUUACCAAGGCUUUGACGGGUAGCCGGCCUGAGAGGGUGACCGGCCACAUUGGGACUGAGAUACGGCCCAGACUCCUACGGGAGGCAGCAGUGGGGAAUAUUGCACAAUGGGCGGAAGCCUGAUGCAGCAACGCCGCGUGCGAGAUGACGGCCUUCGGGUUGUAAACCGCUUUCGCCUGUGACGAAGCGUGAGUGACGGUAAUGGGUAAAGAAGCACCGGCUAACUACGUG